ACCUCUGCAAUAGGCGAAAGCUUGACAGGGUUACUCUGAGUGAUUUCCGUUAAGGAGAUCUUUUGGCACCUCUAAAAAUGGUGCAGAAUAAGGGGUGGGCAAGUCUGGUGUCAGCCGCCGCGGUAAUACCAGCACCCCGAGUGGUCGGGACGUUUAUUGGGCCUAAAGCAUCCGUAGCCGGUUCUACAAGUCUUCCGUUAAAUCCACCUGCUUAACAGAUGGGCUGCGGAAGAUACUAUAGAGCUAGGAGGCGGGAGAGGCAAGCGGUACUCGAUGGGUAGGGGUAAAAUCCGUUGAUCCAUUGAAGACCACCAGUGGCGAAGGCGGCUUGCCAGAACGCGCUCGACGGUGAGGGAUGAAAGCUGGGGGAGCAAACCGGAUUAGAUACCCGGGUAGUCCCAGCUGUAAACGAUGCAGACUCGGUGAUGAGUUGGCUUAUUGCUAACUCAGUGCCGCAGGGAAGCCGUUAAGUUUGCCGCCUGGGGAGUACGGUCGCAAGACUGAAACUUAA
RNAcentral lists this ribosomal RNA (511 nucleotides) under uncultured archaeon. Its description in RNAcentral is "bacterial SSU rRNA". It matches the Rfam family "Archaeal small subunit ribosomal RNA", at positions 346 to 859 of the family's 1478-position model. The record is from RNAcentral.